Molecule: ribosomal RNA, 253 nt
Filed under: uncultured bacterium
Lineage: Bacteria
Description: partial 16S ribosomal RNA
Rfam family: Bacterial small subunit ribosomal RNA
Source: RNAcentral
GACAGAGGGGGCGAGCGUUGUCCGGAGUCACUGGGCGUAAAGCGCGCGCAGGCGGCAACCUAAGUGUCGUGUGAAAGCCCCCGGCUCAACCGGGGGAGGCCAUGGCAAACUGGGUCGCUCGAGCUGCGGAGAGGCCCCUCGAAUUGCAGGUGUAGCGGUGAAAUGCGUAGAGAUCGGCAGGAAGACCAAGGGGGAAGCCAGGGGGCUGGCCGCAGACUGACGCUGAGGCGAGAAAGCGUGGGGAGCAAACAGG